Molecule: ribosomal RNA, 1349 nt
Filed under: Candidatus Phytoplasma australasiaticum subsp. ipomoeae
Lineage: Bacteria; Bacillati; Mycoplasmatota; Mollicutes; Acholeplasmatales; Acholeplasmataceae
Description: bacterial SSU rRNA
Rfam family: Bacterial small subunit ribosomal RNA
Source: RNAcentral
GGGUGAGUAACACGUAAGCAACCUACCCUAAAGACGAGGAUAACCAUUGGAAACAGUGGCUAAGACUGGAUAGGAAGAUAAAAGGCAUCUUGUAUCUUUUAAAAGACCUAGUAAUAGGUAUGCUUUAGGAGGGGCUUGCGCCAUAUUAGUUAGUUGGUAGGGUAAUGGCCUACCAAGACGAUGAUGUGUAGCUGGACUGAGAGGUUGAACAGCCACAUUGGGACUGAGACACGGCCCAAACUCCUACGGGAGGCAGCAGUAGGGAAUUUUCGGCAAUGGAGGAAACUCUGACCGAGCAACGCCGCGUGAAUGACGAAGUACUUCGGUAUGUAAAGUUCUUUUAUCGAGGAAGAAAAGCAAAUGGCGAACCAUUUGUUUGCCGGUACUUGAUGAAUAAGCCCCGGCUAAUUAUGUGCCAGCAGCCGCGGUAAGACAUAAGGGGCAAGUGUUAUCCGGAAUUAUUGGGCGUAAAGGGUGCGUAGGCGGUCUAGUAAGUCAGUGGUGUAAUGGCAACGCUUAACGUUGUCCGGCUAUUGAAACUGCUAAACUUGAGUUAGAUAGAGGCGAGUGGAAUUCCAUGUGUAGCGGUAAAAUGCGUAAAUAUAUGGAGGAACACCAGAGGCGUAGGCGGCUCGCUGGGUCUUAACUGACGCUGAGGCACGAAAGCGUGGGGAGCAAACAGGAUUAGAUACCCUGGUAGUCCACGCCGUAAACGAUGAGUACUAAGUGUCGGGUUAAACCGGUACUGAAGUUAACACAUUAAGUACUCCGCCUGAGUAGUACGUACGCAAGUAUGAAACUUAAAGGAAUUGACGGGACUCCGCACAAGCGGUGGAUCAUGUUGUUUAAUUCGAAGAUACCCGAAAAACCUUACCAGGUCUUGACAUGUUUUUGCAAAAUGAUAGUAAUAUCGUGGAGGUUACCAGAAACACAGGUGGUGCAUGGUUGUCGUCAGCUCGUGUCGUGAGAUGUUAGGUUAAGUCCUAAAACGAGCGAAACCCUUAUCGUUAGUUGCCAGCACGUUAUGGUGGGGACUUUAACGAGACUGCCAAUGAUAAAUUGGAGGAAGGUGAGGAUCACGUCAAAUCAGCAUGCCCCUUAUGACCUGGGCUACAAACGUGAUACAAUGGCUGUUACAAAGGGUAGCUGAAACGCAAGUUCUUGGCCAAUCCCCAAAAACAGUCCCAGUCCGGAUUGAAGUCUGCAACUCGACUUCAUGAAGUUGGAAUCGCUAGUAAUCGCGAAUCAGCAUGUCGCGGUGAAUACGUUCUCGGGGUUUGUACACACCGCCCGUCAAACCACGAAAGUUGGCAAUACCCCAAAACGGUAGCCUAACUCGUUUAUUCGAG